RNAcentral lists this ribosomal RNA (210 nucleotides) under Candidatus Neomicrothrix parvicella. Its description in RNAcentral is "Candidatus Microthrix parvicella partial 16S ribosomal RNA". It matches the Rfam family "Bacterial small subunit ribosomal RNA", at positions 819 to 1028 of the family's 1533-position model. The record is from RNAcentral. Lineage: Bacteria; Bacillati; Actinomycetota; Acidimicrobiia; Acidimicrobiales; Microthrixaceae.
GGUGUGGGGAGAACUCAACUCUCUCCGCGCCGUAGCUAACGCAUUAAGUGCCCCGCCUGGGGAGUACGGCCGCAAGGCUAAAACUCAAAGGAAUUGACGGGGGCCCGCACAAGCGGCGGAGCAUGUUGCUUAAUUCGAGGCAACGCGAAGAACCUUACCUGGGUUGAACUACGUGGGAAAAGCCGCAGAGAUGCGGUGUCCUUCGGGGUC